Molecule: ribosomal RNA, 995 nt
Filed under: Rickettsia sp. wq
Lineage: Bacteria; Pseudomonadati; Pseudomonadota; Alphaproteobacteria; Rickettsiales; Rickettsiaceae
Description: bacterial LSU rRNA
Rfam family: Bacterial large subunit ribosomal RNA
Source: RNAcentral
UGACGGUCCUAAGGUAGCGAAAUUCCUUGUCGGGUAAGUUCCGACCCGCACGAAUGGCGUAACGAUUUCCCCGCUGUCUCCAGUAUCGACUCAGCGAAAUUGAAUUCUCCGUGAAGAUGCGGAGUUCCCGCGGUCAGACGGAAAGACCCCGUGAACCUUUACUAUAGCUUUGCACUGGUGUUAGGAAUCAAAUGUGCAGGAUAGGUGGGAGACUAUGAAGCAGAGGCGUCAGCCUUUGUGGAGUCACCCUUGAGAUACCACCCUUUUGGUUCUUGACAUCUAACCGAGAUCCUUGAAUCAGGAUCCGAGACAAUGCAUGGUGGGUAGUUUGACUGGGGCGGUCGCCUCCCAAAGAGUAACGGAGGCGCGCGAUGGUUAGCUCAGGUUGGUCGGAAAUCAACUUUUAGAGUGCAAUGGCAUAAGCUAGCCUGACUGCGAGUCUGACAAGACGAGCAGAGACGAAAGUCGGUCAUAGUGAUCCGGUGGUCCCGAGUGGAAGGGCCAUCGCUCAACGAAUAAAAGGUACUCCGGGGAUAACAGGCUGAUGAUUUCCAAGCGUCCAUAGCGACGAAAUCGUUUGGCACCUCGAUGUCGGCUCAUCACAUCCUGGGGCUGGAAAAGGUCCCAAGGGUUCGGCUGUUCGCCGAUUAAAGUGGUACGUGAGCUGGGUUUAGAACGUCGUGAGACAGUUCGGUCCCUAUCUGCCGUGGGUGUAGGAAGUUUGAGAGGAUCUGCCUUUAGUACGAGAGGACCGAGGUGGACGUACCCCUGGUGGACCAGUUGUCGUGCCAACGGCACAGCUGGGUAGCUAAGUACGGAAGGGAUAACCGCUGAAUGCAUCUAAGCAGGAAACCCACCUCAAAACUAGACUUCCCCAUUAGAGCCGUGGAAGACCACCACGUUGAUAGGUCAGGUGUGGAAGCGCAGUAAUGCGUGUAGCUAACUGAUACUAAUAGCUCGAUUGAUUUACUUUGCUGUGAGAUUACACAUGUAUA